RNAcentral lists this ribosomal RNA (479 nucleotides) under uncultured bacterium. RNAcentral's name for it is "SSU rRNA". It matches the Rfam family "Bacterial small subunit ribosomal RNA", at positions 26 to 521 of the family's 1533-position model. The record is from RNAcentral.
AGAACGAACGCUGGCGGCAUGCCUAACACAUGCAAGUCGAACGCUUCCGGGGCUUCGGUCGCGGAGGAGUGGCGCACGGGUGAGUAGCGCGUGGGAACCUGCCCUGUUGUGGGGGAUAACCGAGGGAAACUUCGGCUAAUACCGCAUACGCCCCGGGACUUGGUCUUCGGAUUAGGUCUGGGGGGAAAGAUUGAUCGCAGCAGGAGGGGCCCGCGUCGGAUUAGCUGGUUGGUGGGGUAACGGCUCACCAAGGCGAUGAUCCGUAGCUGGUCUGAGAGGAUGAUCAGCCACACUGGGACUGAGACACGGCCCAGACUCCUACGGGAGGCAGCAGUGGGGAAUAUUGGACAAUGGGGCAACCCUGAUCCAGCAAAUGCCGCGUGAGUGAUGAAGGCCUUAGGGUUGUAAAGCUCUUUCGCCGCGACGAUGAUGACGGUAGCGGAGAAGAAGCCCGCUAACUUCGUGCCAGCAGCCGCGGU